RNAcentral lists this ribosomal RNA (385 nucleotides) under uncultured bacterium. RNAcentral's name for it is "partial 16S ribosomal RNA". It matches the Rfam family "Bacterial small subunit ribosomal RNA", at positions 523 to 906 of the family's 1533-position model. The record is from RNAcentral.
AUACGUAGGGGGCGAGCGUUGUCCGGAAUGAUUGGGCGUAAAGGGCGCGUAGGCGGCGCGGUAAGUCUGGAGUGAAAGUCCUGCUUUCAAGGUGGGAAUUGCUUUGGAUACUGCCGCGCUUGAGUGCAGGAGAGGUUAUCGGAAUUCCCGGUGUAGCGGUGAAAUGCGUAGAGAUCGGGAGGAACACCAGUGGCGAAGGCGGGUAACUGGACUGCAACUGACGCUGAGGCGCGAAAGUGUGGGGAGCAAACAGGAUUAGAUACCCUGGUAGUCCACACUGUAAACGAUGAAUGCUAGGUGUAAGAGGUAUCGACCCCUUUUGUGCCGGAGUCAACACAAUAAGCAUUCCGCCUGGGGAGUACGGCCGCAAGGUUGAAACUCAAAU